CAACUCAGCCGUACGUCGGAACAGUCGAAACUUUGUCGGGGCUCUUCGAGUUUGAACUUAUAAAAUAAAAAAAGAGUAGCAAAAAGUAGAAAAAUAAGCACACAUUCAACCGCGACUGUGCGCUAGUAUAGGGCUUUUAGGGAAGAGAAGACAGCAAGCAGCUCCGCGUUUGUACUUAAGUAACAUUUACACAAAGUCAGUUCAGAAUAAUUCGCUCGUACCCCGUGUCGGGCGAUCGAUCCGGUGUGAAUAUUUUCGGUAAUUCGCGACGCGUCGAGUGCACAGUGCUUGCUUCCGGCAGGGAUUAGAAUUUUUAGUGAACUACCCACGGCCUGGCGAUUGGUCCCCGAUCGUAGAUACUCGAUUAGUGCUCAUUUGGAGGAUUUUCCGAAACAGAUUGAGGAGAGCUGCUGCGCAUCGCCAGUUCAGUCAGUCAUAGAACCGCCGCGACGACGUCGAACCGUGCGCGAGGCAGAGAAGCAGAGUGAAAAGAAUACGAAGGAGGAGUGUGUAAAGUGCGGAAACCGAGAGUUGUAGAAGGAAGGCAACGCAGCACGGCGGUAAAGAAAGGAGUCACCGAGUAGUGUGUACAAGUGUGACCGACCCACCACCAGAAGAAGUGUGUUUGUGGAGGCACUUCCCCCACGAUCGCGAGUGUUAGUGGCGAAUUUCUUGUUGGGAGGAAAAAUUUUGUUUUUCGAUUUUUUUUUUUGAGGUUACACAGAAGGAAAGCAGGAGUAAAAGAAAACCGGGUGUGCAAAGGAAGAAAGAGAAAUCGAAAGCGCUGUGUGGAUUAUAGGAAGAUAAAGGGAAGCGAAACAAGUUGAUUCAUACGAAAUUCCGAUACAUACACUAGUACAAAGGAGAGUGCAAGAAUAGUGUUUUUUUUUUCUAUCGUACACCGCAUCGGAGUAUUAUUGAUGAACGCAGUUAUAUUGAGGAAUGGAGAAGCAACACUGAGUUACACAGAUAGAACAAGUGUAUAAGAGUGAUUGUUGAACACGAUAUUAUUGUACAAAGCGCGAGAAGAAGUGAGUUGAUUCAGAGAGAAGAAACCUGGAACCAAGCAAACAAUCAGACAAGAUGAGCGUAUAUGGCAAUAGUGUGCACCCGGAGGCCACCAUCCAGUCGACGCAGAGCAUUGCCGACUAUUUGGCACAGCUACUUAAGGAUCGGAAGCAGUUGGCCGCUUUCCCGAAUGUGUUCAAUCACGUCGAGCGUUUGCUCGACGAGGAGAUAUCCAAGGUCCGAGCUUCCCUCUUCCAGAUCAACGGAGUGACAAAAGAGCCUCUGACGCUGCCAGAACCGGAGGGUGAAACUAUGACAUUGAACGAGAAAGUGUACGUACCGGUCAAAGAGCAUCCCGAUUUUAACUUUGUGGGACGAAUCCUCGGACCACGGGGCAUGACCGCCAAGCAGCUGGAACAGGAGACGGGAUGUAAGAUAAUGGUCCGGGGGAAAGGCUCGAUGCGAGAUAAGAAAAAAGAGGAAGCAAAUCGGGGUAAACCGAACUGGGAACAUCUGUCUGAUGAUCUGCACGUGUUGAUUACCGUUGAAGAUACCGAGAACCGAGCAUCGAUGAAAAUCAAGCGUGCGCUGGAAGAGGUCAAGAAACUGCUGGUUCCCCAUGCUGAAGGCGAAGAUGAAUUGAAGAAACGGCAGCUCAUGGAACUGGCCAUCAUCAACGGAACCUAUCGGGACUCGAGCACAAAAUCCGCCCCGGCCGAGAUCACCUUCGAAACGGCCUACGACGGAUGGAAGCAGCUGGCUGCCGAGCAGCGAUUAAUGAACCCUGCGCUCCAAGGUCUCACGCAGAACCAGCUCCAAAGUCUCACGCGAAACGCCGGCAAUCCACUCGGUGCUCCGCUGAUCCUGUCGCCACGAAUCUCAGUGCCAACGACCGGUGCCAGCCUAAUGACCGGUUCGGCGCCACCCACCAUCGAUCACACCACCGGGCUGAUAUACGCCACGGCACCGUACGCCGACUACGCCAGCUAUGCAGCACUGGCCGCCGGGAAUCCACUGCUCGCAGAGUACGCCGAUCACAGUGAAGAGCCCAUUUUGGUGCCAUAUUUUAUGACAUAUUUCACUUUCCCUCUUGCUUUCAACCGGUUCCACGCCACGGACAGAUGACAGUAUAGUCUCGAGAGUUGUUGAUACCGAGAAACGGUGCGCGGGAUGAAAUUUUGCGACCGCCUGUUCCCCCUCGCAACACUCCGGUUGACUUAAAUCAAAUGGCUAAAAUUUAUGAUCCGAGCUUGCUGUCCCACUACUGUCUGUCUAUCUGUCUGUCUCUCCGUGAAAACCGUUGCUGCCGCACUGUACCUUUCCUCAUGUACCAUUAUAUGUAUACAUUCACGGUAGAGGCCGCGAUCCCACAAGAAAGCUGCAAGAACGGUCAGACAGUUUUGAAGGACAUUGGCAGGCAAAUUCCGCAAACUUUUUGUCCCCAAAAUUGCGUGUGUAAAUAUGGCAGAUAGUGCCCUCGAUGACGAACGUAUGCGUGCAGUGUGCAACUCUUCUACCGCGUGACGCAGUAAAUUCCGGUGUGCCAUCCCCCAACGUCCCCCGUCCCCCCAUCAGUGAGUGCGUGUAUGUGAGCCCUAAGUGGAGCGAGAGAACCGAUCCAAGCCGAGCGCGUGCGUGAAUAGUUUUGUCGACAUCCCAGUGAAACCGUAGUCUACUAUUAUUACUCAACGCCAUCAUCGAUCCAAGUGACACGCACUACCCGUGCUUCACAAAAACAGCGUGCAUGCAUCGAAACAGAGUAAAAGCAGCGAAAACGGAAUCGUCCAGUGACGGAAGCUCCGAACUGACAAAACGUCCGCAGUGUAUGUAGUGAAACAAAUUCGUUCUAGUUGUGUUUUUUUUUAUAUGUAGAGUUUAAUGAAAACAAAUUUUUAUACUUCUCUUGUAUAUUAAGUAGUUAUAUAAAUUGAUGAGAUACACCCUGCGCAAUAGACAUUCACGGAGGAUUAGUUAAAUUAUUAUCAUUACGAUUCAGAAGAAGAAGAAGAAAUAUUUAUGAAAACAAAUGUUCAGAAAGCGUAGAGUGCGAGACAGUUCGGGACAUUGUGGAGCUGCAUUUGGAAGAUUAGAUUUGUGUGAUUGAGACGGUCAAGACGGCGAAAUAGAGCGCUGAUAGAUGGGAUGUACGAGGAUGCCGGAGCAGGAUUGCACAUUUAGAGGGGCAACAUUGAAUCAAAACAAACAGAUACAGACCACCAUCUUCUAAAUUUACGAACUAAGCCAACUUUUCAAAACAGAUGACAGAAUUCCGGCCCCCAGCCGAGCCUCGUUGAACGGAUCCGUACGUCAUCAUCGAUGCAUCGCGCGUGUUCCCAUUUUCCCAAUCGGUUGUUCCGGGUGCAGUAGUGGUACCUGUUGUCAUUGCGAGCCGAUUCAAUCAACAACGAGACAAUGCAGUACACACGACACAACGUGCAACGAUGAGAAACGUCCACUUUGCAAAAGAGAAAAGAGAAAGGGAGUCAACUGAUUGGGAAUCACCGGACACCGAACCAGACGACCAUCGCGACCAGGAGAAAUGCCGUGAGAGAAAGAAAGAAAGCAAGAAUGUAUCGAAGACGUACACAAAGAAGCACAGCAACAAAAACAUGAAUUAACUUUGUGAAUGCAAAAAACGUAAACACCAGUUUUGGAUUGAUGAGGAGACAUUCCAUACAAACCGUUAUAAGAAGCGAAGAAAGCAACAAAAAAAAAAUCCAGAAAGUUGUGCAGUAGGGUAUAUGUGUUAUUUUUUUAAAUAGCAGCGAAAGAUUGUCCAAGGUGCUUUCGAUGUGAAGAAAAGAGUGCCAAAUCUUCCCUUGCAGUAGCCCUUCACCCCUCCCCCCAAACACUACCAUCACCACUGAAAUACCGGAAUACUGGUCCAGAGUGGUGACUUCACCGAUGAUGGUAGUUUCGAUGUCGAGCAGUAGUGGCCGUAGAAAUACGAGAACACAAGUGGUAGACUGGUUCUAAAAUUCAACAUAAUUCAAAAAUCGUAGAAGAAGGUUUAAAUUUUAAAUAAUUGCAAAGAUAGACCAUCAUAAAAGUCAAACAACAUUAUUGAGAGUUUGGACCAGUCUACUCUAUAACUGCAUGAUCAAAAGUGGUCAGUCAACUUGUCAACCCCACCGAAAAUUGGUAGGGGGCAAGUGGUGUACGAAUCCGUGUCAUGUACUGGAAAGUAGCUCAUAUGAAUCUGAGAUGGUAGUGGUGGUGAGGGGUAAGAACAGCAACGCAUAUACAAGGGGAUGCACUUACGAUGCAGUUAGUCAGUUUUUUACCUAUAUUUAUAAGCAAUCAACCCAAAAUUGCAGUUUUACACAACACCACAAGUUACCAAGUAUUUUCGUUCGUCUGUUUCAUUUCUUUUUUUUUUACUGUAUAGAAUUUAUAUUUAGAUUUAAUGUGUAUUUUUUUUCAAGAAAAAGAAUGGAAAAUACAAGCAAAUAAAAAAGCAAAACGCGAAUAGCGAGUGUCACGCUAAAAUUGACAGUAUAUAAAGAUGAAAAGAAAAAUUCUUCCACGACCGUUUAGAGAUUAAGGAAGUUCAGCUGUAGUAUUUAAGAGGAGACGUUUCUUAGAGAUGCUUUGUUAGAAUGUGUCAAACUAGUCUACACAAUUAAAUAAAAAAAACGUUAGGUGUGAUGAGAAGAGAAAGAGAACAUGCUUCGAAAAUACCUUUAUUUCAAUGUACUGUAAAUGUGUUUAGUAUUUAAUGACAGCUUUCUUAGUAUUAUUAAGUAAGUAAACUAUUUAUGUAUAGAAAAAAA
This is an RNA transcript of Ochlerotatus camptorhynchus, 4781 nucleotides long. It is a transcript of the gene named protein held out wings, with no coding region annotated. The record is from RefSeq and is a predicted model, not a curated record. The transcript has 6 exons. NCBI's taxonomy places the organism in Eukaryota, Metazoa, Arthropoda, Insecta, Diptera, Culicidae.